This 280-nucleotide unclassified non-coding RNA is filed under the name uncultured fungus. RNAcentral's name for it is "partial contains 5.8S ribosomal RNA, internal transcribed spacer 2, and large subunit ribosomal RNA". The stretch from base 1 to 52 matches the Rfam family "5.8S ribosomal RNA", at positions 103 to 154 of the family's 154-position model. The record is from RNAcentral. Lineage: Eukaryota; Fungi.
AACGCACAUUGCGCCCGCUAGUAUUCUGGCGGGCAUGCCUGUCUGAGCGUCAUUUCAACCCUCGGGCCCCCGGCUUUGUGAGCUGGAGCGGCCCGGUGUUGGGGACCGGCACAUCCCUCCGGGGAGCGCCGUCCCUCAAAUAUAGUGGCGACCACGCCUGCAGCACCCUCUGCGUAGUAGUAAACCACCUCGCACCGGGACGCGGACGCGGCCAAGCCGUUAAACCCCCAACUUCUGAAUAGUUGACCUCAGAUCAGGUAGGAAUACCCGCUGAACUUAA